RNAcentral lists this ribosomal RNA (154 nucleotides) under Trichoderma paratroviride. RNAcentral's name for it is "5.8S ribosomal RNA". It matches the Rfam family "5.8S ribosomal RNA". Rfam says of the family: 5.8S ribosomal RNA (5.8S rRNA) is a component of the large subunit of the eukaryotic ribosome. It is transcribed by RNA polymerase I as part of the 45S precursor that also contains 18S and 28S rRNA. Lineage: Eukaryota; Fungi; Ascomycota; Sordariomycetes; Hypocreales; Hypocreaceae. The record is from RNAcentral.
UUUCAACAACGGAUCUCUUGGUUCUGGCAUCGAUGAAGAACGCAGCGAAAUGCGAUAAGUAAUGUGAAUUGCAGAAUUCAGUGAAUCAUCGAAUCUUUGAACGCACAUUGCGCCCGCCAGUAUUCUGGCGGGCAUGCCUGUCCGAGCGUCAUUU